GGCUCAGGAUGAACGCUAGCGGCAGGCUUAAUACAUGCAAGUCGAGGGGCAGCAUGACUGUAGCAAUACAGUUGAUGGCGACCGGCAAACGGGUGCGGAACACGUACAGAACCUUCCUUCGAGCGGGGGAAUAGCCCAGAGAAAUUUGGAUUAAUACCCCAUAGUACAUUAGAGUGGCAUCACUUUGAUGUUAAAGAUUUAUCACUUGAAGAUGGCUGUGCGGCUGAUUAGGUAGUUGGCGGGGUAACGGCCCACCAAGCCUGCGAUCAGUAACUGGUGUGAGAGCACGACCAGUCACACGGGCACUGAGACACGGGCCCGACUCCUACGGGAGGCAGCAGUAAGGAAUAUUGGUCAAUGGACGAAAGUCUGAACCAGCCAUGCCGCGUGGAGGAUGAAGGUCCUCUGGAUUGUAAACUUCUUUUAUAUGGGACGAAAAAAGGGUUUUCUAACUCGUCUGACGGUACCAUAUGAAUAAGCACCGGCUAACUCCGUG
This 496-nucleotide ribosomal RNA is filed under the name uncultured bacterium. Its description in RNAcentral is "bacterial SSU rRNA". It matches the Rfam family "Bacterial small subunit ribosomal RNA", at positions 21 to 507 of the family's 1533-position model. The record is from RNAcentral.